RNAcentral lists this ribosomal RNA (936 nucleotides) under Triticum aestivum (bread wheat). RNAcentral's name for it is "partial small subunit ribosomal RNA". The record is from RNAcentral. Lineage: Eukaryota; Viridiplantae; Streptophyta; Magnoliopsida; Poales; Poaceae.
AUGCACCUGCCUCCCGAGGCUCUCGACGGCGAGCUCUGCACAAGCACGCAGAACCCCCGCGUAGGUGAACUCAUUCGGUCGAACACCUCCGGUUCUCAGCAUCUGGAGGAACAGCCUGAAUCCUUCCCCGGCGCGCCCAGCGUCAAAGUACCUCUCCACCAUCGCCGUCCAGGAGACAACGUCCCGGACCGGCAUCGCGUCGAACACCCUCCUGGCGUCGUCCAACCGGCCGCACUUGGCGUACAUGUCCACGAGCGCGCUCCACAUGACGGCAUCGCCCACGCCGAUCCCUCUCCUGGCCACGUGGCAGUGCAGCUCCCUGCCCGCGCGGGCGCACCGGGCGGCUGUGGCCGCGGCGAGCGCGCUGGACACGGUGAACUGGUUGUCGGCGCCGGCGUUCCCAGGCUCCUCCUGCAUCCGGCGGUAGAGCGCGAGCGCGUCGAGGGGCCGGCCGUGGCGGGAGUAGGCGGAGACGAUGGCGGACCAGGAGAAGUGGUCCCUGUGGGGCAUUCGGUCGAACAGCGCGCGCGCGGAGGCGAGGUGGCGCGGCAAGCGGGAGAGCGCGGCGAUGAGGGUGUUGUAGGAGCAGCGGUCGGGGCUCGGGAUGGAGGAGAAGAGGGAGAGGGCGUCGGGGAGAGAGGCCGGGUGGGAGGAGAGGAGGUGGAGGAGGCGGUUGGAAAGCAGCGUGGAGGGCUGGAGCGAGGCGGCGGCCGCGGCCAGCGCGCGCGCGGCCGGGGCGUGGGCGGGGUCGGCGCGGAGCAGCGGGAGGAGGCGGUCGAUGGCGUCGUGGAGCUGCGACGCGGUGGUGACCGAGAAGGUCGGGGGCUUGGUCCUCAUGGAUGGAUAGUGGCAAUGGCGUCGGCAUGCAUGGUGGGCGGUGGCGGCAGCGAGACUGCACUGCAGUUGCGUCUAGCUCUCCGUACAGGACGGCAGUGA